GACGAACGCUGGCGGCGUGCUUAACACAUGCAAGUCGAACGGAAAGGCCCUGCUUUUGUGGUGUGCUCGAGUGGCGAACGGGUGAGUAACACGUGAGUAACCUGCCCUUGACUUUGGUAUAACUUCAGGAAACUGGGGCUAAUACCGUAUAGGAUCUCCUGCUGCAUGGUGGGGGUUGGAACGUUUCGGCGGUUGGGGAUGGACUCGCGGCUUAUCAGCUUGUUGGUGGGGUAGUGGCUUACCAAGGCUUUGACGGGUAGCCGGCCUGAGAGGGUGACCGGGCACAAUGGGACUGAGAUACGGAGCAGACGCGUACGGGAGGCAGCAGUGGGAAAUAUUACACAAUGAGAGGAAGCCUGAGGCAGAAACGCCGGGUGCGGAAUGACGGCCUGCGGGGUAUAAACCGCUUUAGCCUGUGACGAAGCGUGAGUGACGGUAAUGGGUAAAGAAGCACCGGCUAACUACGUG
Molecule: ribosomal RNA, 468 nt
Filed under: uncultured bacterium
Lineage: Bacteria
Description: partial 16S ribosomal RNA
Rfam family: Bacterial small subunit ribosomal RNA
Source: RNAcentral